This 486-nucleotide ribosomal RNA is filed under the name uncultured bacterium. Its description in RNAcentral is "partial 16S ribosomal RNA". It matches the Rfam family "Bacterial small subunit ribosomal RNA", at positions 355 to 858 of the family's 1533-position model. The record is from RNAcentral.
UGGGGAAUAUUGGACAAUGGGGGCAACCCUGAUCCAGCAAUGCCGCGUGUGUGAAGAAGGUCUUCGGAUUGUAAAGCACUUUCGACGGGGACGAUGAUGACGGUACCCGUAGAAGAAGCCCCGGCUAACUUCGUGCCAGCAGCCGCGGUAAUACGAAGGGGGCUAGCGUUGCUCGGAAUGACUGGGCGUAAAGGGCGUGUAGGCGGUUUACACAGUCAGAUGUGAAAUCCCCGGGCUUAACCUGGGAGCUGCAUUUGAUACGUGUAGACUAGAGUGUGAGAGAGGGUUGUGGAAUUCCCAGUGUAGAGGUGAAAUUCGUAGAUAUUGGGAAGAACACCGGUGGCGAAGGCGGCAACCUGGCUCAUGACUGACGCUGAGGCGCGAAAGCGUGGGGAGCAAACAGGAUUAGAUACCCUGGUAGUCCACGCUGUAAACGAUGUGUGCUAGAUGUUGGGUAACUUUGUUAUUCAGUGUCGCAGUUAACGC